This is a non-coding RNA of Peromyscus maniculatus bairdii (prairie deer mouse), 319 nucleotides long. The record is from RefSeq and is a predicted model, not a curated record. Lineage: Eukaryota; Metazoa; Chordata; Mammalia; Rodentia; Cricetidae.
GGACACAGCAGGAACUCAGACGCUGAUGGAAAGAACAACCUGUAUCAGUCAUUGACAAAAUCUGCAUGAAGUCUACAGACCAGCAGAAUGGAGACAGGGAUGCUAAUACAAGGAAAAGGUCUCAAGUUGCUGCUCAAACUGUGACUGACAGCAUGGAUUCUCCGGAUCAUCUGGUUUUCAGACUGAACUGGAACCAUUGUCUUUCCUGAGGUUCCAGCUUGCUAACUGCAGACUGUGGGACUUAAAGACUCCAUAAUGACAUGAGCCUAUUCUUUACAAUAAGUAUCCCCUUAUAUUCUAUCUAUCAUCUAUGUAUGUA